AUGAACGCUGGCGGCGUGCCUAAUACAUGCAAGUCGAGCGAACGGACGAGAAGCUUGCUUUUCUGAUGUUAGCGGCGGACGGGUGAGUAACACGUGGAUAACCUACCUAUAAGACUGGGAUAACUUCGGGAAACCGGAGCUAAUACCGGAUAAUAUUUUGAACCGCAUGGUUCAAAAGUGAAAGACGGUCUUGCUGUCACUUAUAGAUGGAUUCGCGCUGCAUUAGCUAGUUGGUAAGGUAACGGCUUACCAAGGCAACGAUGCAUAGCCGACCUGAGAGGGUGAUCGGCCACACUGGAACUGAGACACGGUCCAGACUCCUACGGGAGGCAGCAGUAGGGAAUCUUCCGCAAUGGGCGAAAGCCUGACGGAGCAACGCCGCGUGAGUGAUGAAGGUCUUCGGAUCGUAAAACUCUGUUAUUAGGGAAGAACAUAUGUGUAAGUAACUGUGCACAUCUUGACGGUACCUAAUCAGAAAGCCACGGCUAACUACGUG
RNAcentral lists this ribosomal RNA (496 nucleotides) under uncultured bacterium. Its description in RNAcentral is "partial 16S ribosomal RNA". It matches the Rfam family "Bacterial small subunit ribosomal RNA", at positions 29 to 507 of the family's 1533-position model. The record is from RNAcentral.